Long non-coding RNA from Macrobrachium nipponense, 686 nucleotides. RefSeq lists it as uncharacterized. The transcript is spliced from 3 exons. The record is from RefSeq and is a predicted model, not a curated record. Lineage: Eukaryota; Metazoa; Arthropoda; Malacostraca; Decapoda; Palaemonidae.
UACUGUAGUGAUUUUAGGGUUCAUCAAAAUUAUGUUGAAAAUCUGGAGUUUUGUUCCGGGUGCUAGAAACUGCUAAACUUAAGUGCUUGAAAUUAUGAAGUUUAUCUGGAAUGCAGAUUUCUAACGUUCAUGCGUUGAAUACUUGAGCACUGUGAACCAACAGCACAUCCUUGUAUUACUACCCGAAUUUCACUUAGUUUAUCGAACAUUUCAAAAUGAGUAUAAUCGGUAGCUUCAUUGAACUUUGUGAAUUACAUUAUUUGUUUACUUAGAAUGGUAAAAUAUCCGGGACAACUUCAGUGAAACUUGGAAGACGAUCUGAUGAACUAUUGGCAGUUAAUAUCUUGUGGACAAAACUCCUAAUAGCCAACGAAACUUGAUCAUGUCGAGGACGCCCACUAGCCUCGCACUAGCGAAUUCCGUUAGAAAAUUUGUAUUGAAUGAUCUUCACAGAGGGUCGAAAUAAGUUCUUGAAGGACACGAAAUCAAGGAGUAUUGCAGUGACUUCUCUUCAUGAACUGCAACUCUUCAUGGACUGCAACUCUUCAUGGACUGCAAGUCUUGUACAAUAUCAACACUAAUAUCUAACAGCCUUAGUAUUCGUUACUGUUACUUUCUAUAACGCUUGCCAAAAGUUUUUAUAAGGUUGUUAUACGACUAUGGUUCUAGAAAAGGUUGGAAACCUC